GCGGAAGUGGCUCAGUUGGUAGAGCACAACCUUGCCAAGGUUGGGGUCGCGGGUUCGAGUCCCGUCUUCCGCU
Molecule: transfer RNA, 73 nt
Filed under: Chloroflexota bacterium
Lineage: Bacteria; Bacillati; Chloroflexota
Also listed under: 3 other names
Description: Chloroflexi bacterium tRNA-Gly
Rfam family: tRNA
About the family: Transfer RNA (tRNA) molecules are approximately 80 nucleotides in length.
Source: RNAcentral